AGACUGUGCUUUUUAGGGGAGAUACCAUGAUCACGAAGGUGGUAUUCCCAGGGUGAGGCUUAUCCAUUGCACCCCGGAUGUGCUAACCCCUGCAAUUUCCCCAAAUGUAGGAAACUCGACUGCAUAAUUUGUGGAAUUGGGGGACUGCGUUCGCGCUCUCCCUGA
Small nuclear RNA from Echinops telfairi (small Madagascar hedgehog), 165 nucleotides. RefSeq annotates it as U1 spliceosomal RNA. The record is from RefSeq and is a predicted model, not a curated record. The transcript has a single exon. Lineage: Eukaryota; Metazoa; Chordata; Mammalia; Afrosoricida; Tenrecidae.